This 422-nucleotide ribosomal RNA is filed under the name Salmonella enterica subsp. enterica serovar Infantis. RNAcentral describes it as "bacterial SSU rRNA". It matches the Rfam family "Bacterial small subunit ribosomal RNA", at positions 1 to 417 of the family's 1533-position model. Lineage: Bacteria; Pseudomonadati; Pseudomonadota; Gammaproteobacteria; Enterobacterales; Enterobacteriaceae. The record is from RNAcentral.
UUAAAUUGAAGAGUUUGAUCAUGGCUCAGAUUGAACGCUGGCGGCAGGCCUAACACAUGCAAGUCGAACGGUAACAGGAAGCAGCUUGCUGCUUUGCUGACGAGUGGCGGACGGGUGAGUAAUGUCUGGGAAACUGCCUGAUGGAGGGGGAUAACUACUGGAAACGGUGGCUAAUACCGCAUAACGUCGCAAGACCAAAGAGGGGGACCUUCGGGCCUCUUGCCAUCAGAUGUGCCCAGAUGGGAUUAGCUGGUUGGUGAGGUAACGGCUCACCAAGGCGACGAUCCCUAGCUGGUCUGAGAGGAUGACCAGCCACACUGGAACUGAGACACGGUCCAGACUCCUACGGGAGGCAGCAGUGGGGAAUAUUGCACAAUGGGCGCAAGCCUGAUGCAGCCAUGCCGCGUGUAUGAAGAAGGCCU